This 589-nucleotide ribosomal RNA is filed under the name uncultured bacterium. RNAcentral describes it as "partial 16S ribosomal RNA". It matches the Rfam family "Bacterial small subunit ribosomal RNA", at positions 355 to 1376 of the family's 1533-position model. The record is from RNAcentral.
UGGGGAAUCUUCCGCAAUGGACGAAAGUCUGACGGAGCAACGCCGCGUGAGUGAAGAAGGUUUUCGGAUCGUAAAACUCUGUCUUUUGGGGCGAACGUGAGUAUGGUGAACAAUCAUAGUCAGUGACGGUACCAAAGGAGGAAGCCACGGCUAACUACGUGCCAGCAGCCGCGGUAAUACGUAGGUGGCAAGCGUUGUCCGGAAUUAUUGGGCGUAAAGAGCGCGUAGGCGGGAUAGUCAGUCUGUUGUAAAAGUGCGGGGCUCAACCCCGUGAUGGCAAUGGAAACAGCUAUUCUUGAGUGCAGGAGAGGAAAGUGGAAUUCCCAGUGUAGCGGUGAAAUGCGUAGAUAUUGGGAGGAACACCAGUGGCGAAGGCGACUUUCUGGACUGUGUCUGACGCUGAGGCGCGAAAGCCAGGGGAGCGAACGGGAUUAGAUACCCCGGUAGUCCUGGCCGUAAACGAUGGGUACUAGGUGUGGGAGGUAUCAACCCCUUCCGUGCCGGAGUUAACGCAAUAAGUACCCCGCCUGGGGAGUACGGUCGCAAGACUGAAACUCAAAUGAAUUGACGGGGUCAUAGCUGUUUCCUG